RNAcentral lists this ribosomal RNA (279 nucleotides) under uncultured bacterium. RNAcentral describes it as "partial 16S ribosomal RNA". It matches the Rfam family "Bacterial small subunit ribosomal RNA", at positions 506 to 784 of the family's 1533-position model. The record is from RNAcentral.
UGCCAGCAGCCGCGGUAAUACGGAGGGAGCUAGCGUUGUUCGGAAUCACUGGGCGUAAAGCGCACGUAGGCGGACUGAUCAGUUGGGGGUGAAAGCCCGGGGCUUAACCUCGGAACUGCCUUCAAUACUGUCAGUCUUGAGUUCGGGAGAGGUGAGUGGAAUUCCUAGUGUAGAGGUGAAAUUCGUAGAUAUUCGGAGGAACACCAGUGGCGAAGGCGGCUCACUGGCUCGAUACUGACGCUGAGGUACGAAAGUGUGGGGAGCAAACAGGAUUAGAUA